GACGAACGCUGGCGGCGUGCCUAAUACAUGCAAGUCGAACGCACUCUCGUUUAGAUUGGAGGAGCUUGCUCCUGAUUGAUAAACAUUUGAGUGAGUGGCGGACGGGUGAGUAACACGUGGGUAACCUGCCCUAAAGUGGGGGAUAACAUUUGGAAACAGAUGCUAAUACCGCAUAAAACCUAAACACCGCAUGGUGUAGGGUUGAAAGAUGGUUUCGGCUAUCACUUUAGGAUGGACCCGCGGUGCAUUAGUUAGUUGGUGAGGUAAAGGCUCACCAAGACCGUGAUGCAUAGCCGACCUGAGAGGGUAACCGGCCACACUGGGACUGAGACACGGCCCAGACUCCUACGGGAGGCAGCAGUAGGGAAUCUUCCACAAUGGACGAAAGUCUGAUGGAGCAACGCCGCGUGAGUGAAGAAGGUUUUCGGAUCGUAAAACUCUGUUGUUGGUAGAAGAAUGUAUCUGAUAGUAACUGAUCAGGUAGUGAC
RNAcentral lists this ribosomal RNA (488 nucleotides) under uncultured bacterium. RNAcentral's name for it is "bacterial SSU rRNA". It matches the Rfam family "Bacterial small subunit ribosomal RNA", at positions 28 to 494 of the family's 1533-position model. The record is from RNAcentral.